CGUCUAAGCAGUAAGGCUGAGUAUUAGGCAAAUCCGGUACUCGUUAAGGCUGAGCUGUGAUGGGGAGAAGACAUUGUGUCUUCGAGUCGUUGAUUUCACACUGCCGAGAAAAGCCUCUAGAUAGAAAAUAGGUGCCCGUACCGCAAACCGACACAGGUAGUCAAGAUGAGAAUUCUAAGGUGAGCGGUCGAACGCUCGUUAAGGAACUCGGCAAAAUGACCCCGUAACUUCGGGAGAAGGGGUGCUCUUUAGGGUUAACGCCCAGAAGAGCCGCAGUGAAUAGGCCCAAGCGACUG
Molecule: ribosomal RNA, 296 nt
Filed under: Staphylococcus aureus
Lineage: Bacteria; Bacillati; Bacillota; Bacilli; Caryophanales; Staphylococcaceae
Description: partial 23S ribosomal RNA
Rfam family: Bacterial large subunit ribosomal RNA
Source: RNAcentral